RNAcentral lists this long non-coding RNA (807 nucleotides) under Homo sapiens (human). RNAcentral describes it as "long intergenic non-protein coding RNA 877". Lineage: Eukaryota; Metazoa; Chordata; Mammalia; Primates; Hominidae. The record is from RNAcentral.
GAUUUUAAACUGUGGAGCACGUCAAGAGAAAGCUCACUGAUCUGCCGAGGGUUUGUGCUUUUCUGUCUUCAUGCAUCUGUUGUGGGUGAAGAGAGCAAAGAUUCUUCAUUCAAUCAAAGGCCCCCUUUGGAGAUGCUGAGAAGGAAAUUUCCUUUGGAAAUUCCCAAAGGAAUUGGGCUGUCUCUCUCUCUUUCUCUGGUUGCAUUUCACCAGCUAAGGAGUUGCAUUGGCUUCUGCUCUCCUCUCUUGCUCACCUACAUUGUGAGCCUCUGUUCAGAUGUCACAUUCUGCAUACAAUGGCACCUCCUAACAGAAGAAAUGAUGGCAUGGGCAUGCAAUCUGCAAAAUCCAUACCACAGGAUAUUCUAGGGGACAAAUGACCUGGCCAUUUCAACAAAAACCUGCAAGAAACAAAAACGAAGAAAGGAAAUGGGCACUGCCCACAUGAGUAGUAUUCCACUGUAUUCCACAUGAGGCUCUUAUGACCGACUUCAGCAGAAGGUCAGAGGAUUCUAUGAUGUUUGAUGGUGUGCUUCAGGGGAGAAGGGUUGGGGUCAAAGAGACCUUCCCGCUUCUGCUGGUUUUCUCAGAUGCCAAGAUGCUCUAUUUUGGGGUAACAUGUCCUAAACCCUAUCACCUGCCUAAUGUUACUUAUUAGCUCUCAUUUCCCCUGACACUUUCCCUUUUUGUUUUCUUGAGUAGAAGCUUCAUAAAGGCAAGACCUUCAUCUUACUCACAGCAGUUGAUUCUAUCACCUUGUAUGGCCCCUGACACAUAGAAGGUGCUCAAUAAAUUUUGUUGAAUGGA